GCCUGUGAUGUCAGAAUCCUAUUCCAUUACUGAACCCAACGUGUGGAACAACCCUAACUGAGGAU
Molecule: small nucleolar RNA, 65 nt
Organism: Anguilla rostrata (American eel)
Lineage: Eukaryota; Metazoa; Chordata; Actinopteri; Anguilliformes; Anguillidae
Product: small nucleolar RNA SNORD98
Exons: 1
Source: RefSeq, a predicted model, not a curated record